Molecule: ribosomal RNA, 468 nt
Filed under: uncultured bacterium
Lineage: Bacteria
Description: partial 16S ribosomal RNA
Rfam family: Bacterial small subunit ribosomal RNA
Source: RNAcentral
GACGAACGCUGGCGGCGUGCUUAACACAUGCAAGUCGAACGGAAAGGCCCUGCUUUUGUGGGGUGCUCGAGUGGCGAACGGGUGAGUAACACGUGAGUAACCUGCCCUUGACUUUGGGAUAACUUCAGGAAACUGGGGCUAAUACCGGAUAGGAGCUCCUGCUGCAUGGUGGGGGUUGGAAAGUUUCGGCGGUUGGGGAUGGACUCGCGGCUUAUCAGCUUGUUGGUGGGGUAGUGGCUUACCAAGGCUUUGACGGGUAGCCGGCCUGAGAGGGUGACCGGCCACAUUGGGACUGAGAUACGGCCCAGACUCCUACGGGAGGCAGCAGUGGGGAAUAUUGCACAAUGGGCGGAAGCAUGAUGAAGCAACGCCGCGUGCGGGAUGACGGCCUUCGGGUUGUAAACCGCUUUCGCCUGUGACGAAGCGUGAGUGACGGUAAUGGGUAAAGAAGCACCGGCUAACUACGUG